This 507-nucleotide ribosomal RNA is filed under the name uncultured bacterium. Its description in RNAcentral is "partial 16S ribosomal RNA". It matches the Rfam family "Bacterial small subunit ribosomal RNA", at positions 28 to 523 of the family's 1533-position model. The record is from RNAcentral.
GAUGAACGCUAGCUACAGGCUUAACACAUGCAAGUCGAGGGGAAACGACAUCGAAAGCUUGCUUUUGAUGGGCGUCGACCGGCGCACGGGUGAGUAACGCGUAUCCAACCUGCCCAUCACUUGGGAAUAACCUUGCGAAAGUAAGACUAAUGCCCAAUGAUAUCCCACGAAGGCAUCCGAAUGGGAUUAAAGAUUUAUCGGUGAUGGAUGGGGAUGCGUCUGAUUAGCUUGUGGGCGGGGUAACGGCCCACCAAGGCGACGAUCAGUAGGGGUGCUGAGAGGAAGGUCCCCACAUUGGAACUGAGACACGGUCCAAACUCCUACGGGAGGCAGCAGUGAGGAAUAUUGGUCAAUGGGCGAGAGCCUGAACCAGCCAAGUAGCGUGCAGGAUGACGGCCCUAUGGGUUGUAAACUGCUUUUAUAAGGGAAUAAAGUGAGUCUCGUGAGACUUUUUGCACGUACCUUAUGAAUAAGGACCGGCUAAUUCCGUGCCAGCCGCCGCCGUAA